RNAcentral lists this ribosomal RNA (773 nucleotides) under uncultured Neocallimastigales. RNAcentral describes it as "partial large subunit ribosomal RNA". It matches the Rfam family "Eukaryotic large subunit ribosomal RNA", at positions 24 to 643 of the family's 3401-position model. The record is from RNAcentral. Lineage: Eukaryota; Fungi; Neocallimastigomycota; Neocallimastigomycetes; Neocallimastigales.
UAUCUCUGUAGAGUCUGCAUAUCAAUAAGCGGAGGAAAAGAAACUAACAAGGAUUCCCUUAGUAACGGCGAGUGAAGCGGGAAGAGCUCAAAUUUGAAAUCUUCAAGGUUCUACCUUGACGAAUUGUAGUUUAAAGAAGUGUUUUCUGUUAGAUGAGUAGCAAAAGUUCCUUGGAAUGGGACAUCAUAGAGGGUGAGAAUCCCGUAUUUGGUUAUUCAUUCUAGCUUUGUGAUACACUUUCAAAGAGUCGGAUUGUUUGGGAAUGCAGUCCAAAAUGGGUGGUAAAUUUCAUCUAAAGCUAAAUAUUGGCGAGAGACCGAUAGCGAACAAGUACCGUGAGGGAAAGAUGAAAAGAACUUUGAAAAGAGAGUUAAACAGUACGUGAAAUUGUCAAAAGGGAAGCGUUUGACACCAGUGUUGUUUUUCCGAAAAUCAAUUACGAAUGGCUUGAUUUUGUGUUGUAUUGACCUUAUCAGCUUUCUUCACUUUUUUCGAGUCUUUCUUAAUGCACUUUUCGGUUAACAAGUCAACAUCAAUUUCUUUUGUUGUAAAAGAGUAUUCGGAAGGUGGCUUUCUUUUCGGAGAAAGUGUUUAUAGCCCUAUACUUCUACAAUCGGAGAGAUUGAGGUCUGCAGCGUAGAUCCUUCGGGGUUAGAUACACUUGUGCUAAGUUGUAGCUUUUCAUAGACAACUUGUUGACUAUGUUUAGUCAUGCGGCUUACUCGCUUGUGCUAUUUUACCUACGCUUAGGAUGUUGAACUACUGAGACAUAG